RNAcentral lists this ribosomal RNA (1082 nucleotides) under Fusarium sp. RNAcentral describes it as "eukaryotic LSU rRNA". The stretch from base 497 to 1082 matches the Rfam family "Eukaryotic large subunit ribosomal RNA", at positions 1 to 598 of the family's 3401-position model. The record is from RNAcentral. Lineage: Eukaryota; Fungi; Ascomycota; Sordariomycetes; Hypocreales; Nectriaceae.
GACCAGCGGAGGGAUCAUUACCGAGUUUACAACUCCCAAACCCCUGUGAACAUACCUUAAUGUUGCCUCGGCGGAUCAGCCCGCGCCCCGUAAAACGGGACGGCCCGCCAGAGGACCCAAACUCUAAUGUUUCUUAUUGUAACUUCUGAGUAAAACAAACAAAUAAAUCAAAACUUUCAACAACGGAUCUCUUGGUUCUGGCAUCGAUGAAGAACGCAGCAAAAUGCGAUAAGUAAUGUGAAUUGCAGAAUUCAGUGAAUCAUCGAAUCUUUGAACGCACAUUGCGCCCGCUGGUAUUCCGGCGGGCAUGCCUGUUCGAGCGUCAUUUCAACCCUCAAGCCCCCGGGUUUGGUGUUGGGGAUCGGCUCUGCCCUUCUGGGCGGUGCCGCCCCCGAAAUACAUUGGCGGUCUCGCUGCAGCCUCCAUUGCGUAGUAGCUAACACCUCGCAACUGGAACGCGGCGCGGCCAUGCCGUAAAACCCCAACUUCUGAAUGUUGACCUCGGAUCAGGUAGGAAUACCCGCUGAACUUAAGCAUAUCAAUAAGCGGAGGAAAAGAAACCAACAGGGAUUGCCCUAGUAACGGCGAGUGAAGCGGCAACAGCUCAAAUUUGAAAUCUGGCUUUCGGGCCCGAGUUGUAAUUUGUAGAGGAUACUUUUGAUGCGGUGCCUUCCGAGUUCCCUGGAACGGGACGCCAUAGAGGGUGAGAGCCCCGUCUGGUUGGAUGCCAAAUCUCUGUAAAGUUCCUUCGACGAGUCGAGUAGUUUGGGAAUGCUGCUCUAAAUGGGAGGUAUAUGUCUUCUAAAGCUAAAUAUUGGCCAGAGACCGAUAGCGCACAAGUAGAGUGAUCGAAAGAUGAAAAGCACUUUGAAAAGAGAGUUAAAAAGUACGUGAAAUUGUUGAAAGGGAAGCGUUUAUGACCAGACUUGGACUUGGUUAAUCAUCUGGGGUUCUCCCCAGUGCACUUUUCCAGUUCAGGCCAGCAUCAGUUUUCGCCGGGGGAUAAAGGCUUCGGGAAUGUAGCUCUCUUCGGGGAGUGUUAUAGCCCGUUGUGUAAUACCCUGGCGGAGACUGAGGUUCGC